GACGUAGGGGGCCAGCGUUGUUCGGAAUUACUGGGUGUAAAGGGUUCGUAGGCGGUGCGGCAAGUCGGGAGUGAAAUCUCUGGGCUUAACCCAGAGGCUGCUUCCGAAACUGCUGUGCUUGAGUGUGGUAGAGGAAGGUGGAAUUCCAGGUGUAGCGGUGAAAUGCGUAGAUAUCUGGAGGAACACCGAUGGCGAAGGCAGCCUUCUGGGCCACAACUGACGCUGAGGUACGAAAGCGUGGGUAGCAAACAGG
This 253-nucleotide ribosomal RNA is filed under the name uncultured bacterium. Its description in RNAcentral is "partial 16S ribosomal RNA". It matches the Rfam family "Bacterial small subunit ribosomal RNA", at positions 524 to 776 of the family's 1533-position model. The record is from RNAcentral.